GGGGGUGCACCGGUUUCGACAGGGAGUACUGAAGUUUUAUGGGCGUGUCCAGGUUGAUCGGCAUGGUCCUGGUAAAAAGUCGAUCAAAACAUAAAUGUAGAAUCUAACGAUUUUUCAUACGCAAUGGCCGCUUAAUUUAAUUAAGCCCGUUCGUUGAGGUGGUUACAGCCGAUAACAAAGUGUGUGACAAAUAUGGUGUUGGAGCAUGUAAAACUUCAAUCGUUGAGUCGCCGGGAAGCCAACGUUAAAAAUCACUGGGCUGUUCUCUGAAGACAAGCAGGGAUAGUCUUCGCUUUGAGACAAUAAUUCAAAGCUACACACGUAGUCCGCUUUACAGAUGAUUCUUUGGACGUGGGUUCGAUUCCCACCACCUCCACCA
RNAcentral lists this transfer-messenger RNA (379 nucleotides) under Bacteriovorax sp. It matches the Rfam family "transfer-messenger RNA". Rfam says of the family: Bacterial tmRNA, also known as 10Sa RNA or SsrA, is named for its dual tRNA and mRNA-like properties. Its role is to liberate the mRNA from a stalled ribosome. To accomplish this part of the tmRNA is used as a reading frame that ends in a translation stop signal. Lineage: Bacteria; Pseudomonadati; Bdellovibrionota; Bacteriovoracia; Bacteriovoracales; Bacteriovoracaceae. The record is from RNAcentral.